CCGUCAUUGGCGUAGCAGGUAGCGCGGCUGGUUUGGGGCCAGCAGGUCGGGGGUUCAAAUCCUUCAUGACGGACCA
Molecule: transfer RNA, 76 nt
Filed under: Pantoea sp. LMR881
Lineage: Bacteria; Pseudomonadati; Pseudomonadota; Gammaproteobacteria; Enterobacterales; Erwiniaceae
Description: tRNA-Pro
Rfam family: tRNA
About the family: Transfer RNA (tRNA) molecules are approximately 80 nucleotides in length. Their secondary structure includes four short double-helical elements and three loops (D, anti-codon, and T loops).
Source: RNAcentral